UUAACCAGCGACAAAAAAACCUAAACCUAUCGCCCGCUCCCUCGCGCCCCUGUUGCUCCCUCCUCGGUCCCGAUCUGGAUCGAGGCUCGAGGGGACGAGGAGCUCCUGCCUCCCCGUCGGCCGGCCUCCUCCUCGCCCCGCCGCUGCGUCCGGCGCCGCCACGGCCUCUGGAGCCAGGGAAGCCAUGGCCUGAGCUUGGCCUCGAGGUCCCCGCCGCCGUCUCCUGCAGCUUCUGCCCCGCCGCCUCACCGCCCGAGCUUGCUGUCGCACCAACCUCGUGUCGAGCAUCCUACCCAUUGGCAGACAGAGAUCAUCGAUGGUUCCGUGUGGCCUUAACCCUGCACCCAUGCCCGCAAUUCUUCUACCUCCUCUCAGCUGCACAAGGAUGGGGAUUGCGAGUUAGGAUGUAAUUUUCCUGUUAAAGUGACACUCCAUGGAAUUCCUGUUAUAUCAAUGAAAAUCUUACAAGGUAAAAUGAUGGACCUGAAUGGUUCAGACAGACAUAUACUGCAUCAAUGGAAACAAGGGAUGUUCUGUCAAUCUGAUCUUAGUUCUACAGACCUCAGAGUUCUACAGCGACGCAGACUAGCAGCGACACCUCUCUCUAUUGUGCUUCUAUCUGUUCUGUGGAUCAAUUCAGAGUGUUGAUCGUUAUGGGUCGAUAAAAAAAUGUUCAGAAUCUGAUGCGUGGCAAUCAGAUGGUCAAAAAAGUGACGGUGUGUGACGAUCGGACGACCGGAUGAUCGGACGUCUUCUUCUUCAAGCUCCCAGCAUGCCGUACUCUCCAUCUAUUGUCUCUUUCGCACGGCGGGGCAGAGGGAGUUGAUCGAGGACCGCAGCGUCGGCCACCCAGGUACAAGCGCGUGGCGGCGACUGCGAUGCACAUCAGCCUACUGUUCUUCUACCGGUACACAGCGGCCAUGUGCCACCGCCGAGCCCUUCAUUGGCGUCCUCCUGGGACACCUCCAUGUAGCACCAAGGUUAAAAAAACACCCUGUUGUUGGUCCCUUUCAAUUGAAAUAUUCAUUUUACAUGCUCCGGUCAUAAGUUUGUGAUCUGCAAGGUUUAUAUGAAAAAGGAUUUCCAAUUAUGAUAAGUUGUAUCUUAUUGAUCCCAACUGUUAGACCAUGUGAGCUCACUGAUUUUGCCGUCUGAAUAUCUGUAGAGUGAAACAAACGUAGCAGUCGUAUGUCAUCUGCUUGCUGAGUUGCAUCAUUAGCCUGAGCAGAUAGCCAUCUUGCAUAUUGUUUGCCCCAAUAAUAUUUCUCAUUUUUUCUGAUGCAUCUUUUUCCCCCAUUGGAGUUAUGGUUAUCUUCUUACAUGGUUUACAUGUCAAUUUUGUAAACAAGGAACUGGUCAUAAUCAGCAAUCCUGAUUAGCUUAUGCUCAUUGCCUUGUAUCAAUUUUGAGUCUUAGUUUGUUCACCAUCAUCAAUAAGCGGGACCUUUCAUUUCUUCACAAAUGGGCCAACCCACCAAAUCGUUCAACUCAUCAACUCACAAAAUGCAUGACCAUCAAGCAAGCUAGCACAAGCUAUUUAACUAAAGAAAAGUCACUUUGUAAUGUGACUACAAAUUAGAUUACAGAGGGAAGUUUGCAAAUCACUAGCUCUGAAAGCAUAAAAUAUAUUUCAAUUUCUAGGCUGCUACAUUAUUUUGAAACAUGAGCUUUUUUAAAACUGAGUGUUUGACGUAGCUUGCUGUUAUUGUCAAACUGAAAUAGCUGAGUAUAUAUAUGUUGCUUUUUGUUUAGGAAAGUGAAAAAAACAAGAUGCCAUUUGUAUGCCAGGAAUGGCAUAUGUGAACGACUCGGGUGGUAGUUUUUAGGGUGUGGCAAGGGGCAUUUUUUAUAAACUGCCAUGGCAGUUCUUUAAUUUAGUUCUAUUUUUUGAGAAACAGCCAUCCACAGGUUAUUGAUUGUGUGGUUCUGUGUGUGUUCACUGGGACCUCGUCACCAGCGAACGUUCGCCGGGUAUUGUUCAACAUGGCUCUUGAUAAUUUAAUGAUUCAAUCAAAUUUCAUUGCAAAGUACACUGGACCAGGCUUUCCUUCUUUCUAAUGCAGUGUUAGUUGGCAUUAAGUUGUGAAAUCCAAAUCCAUACAUUUACAGUUCCUUGUUGUUCUAAUUACACAAGUAUUUUCACAUAUUUUUUUGUUAACUAAUCUUCACACCGAACACCAUCUCAGUAACUAGACCUGAUAUAGUAGUUAGUUUUGGCAUUAGACACAACAACUUUGACAUCGAUAAUUUCCUCAUAUAUUUAGAGGACAAUAAACUUGUCUAGCAUUUCAUUAUGAGUUGCAGACUCUGAAAACAAAUGUAUGUGCCCCCUAAAUGAUUAAACAUGUGGUUUCUGAAUUAUGCAUGCUGACAUGCAUUGGCAAUCAUUAUUCAACAGUAUUCCUUUUCACUGAAAUAGUAACCAUGUAAUGCUUACGAUUUAAUCUGGUUAUCUAGACAACUAAAUGGGUUAAUGUUAUGUUUAAUUAGUAUCUUUUGGCAUAUGUAAUGCGUGGAAGGAAACCAGUGUCUUUUGAUUAGGGAUUUCUGGAGGUAACAUGCCUCUGACUGUAUGCACUGAAUUUCAGAUGCUCUGUUUAGAAGAUGUUUUCUUCAGUAGUACUACAUAUUUUUAUGAUUUCCUGUAACUUGCUGAUAUGGCACCGAUUUGCCGCAUGGUGUGCUACAACUACCCUCCAGGGGAAUAUUUGUUCAGAAUCUUCAGUCUUGUAAUUUUCUCCUUGAUGACAAUGACCAUGCUGUACUGGGGGAUAUGGGAUUCCAUCCUUGCUGUUUGGACUUCCGCUGCCAAAUCCAGAUCUUAUCCAAAGACUUGAGACUCCAAAUUACAUGCCCCAGAACAUUGGCGACCAAACAUCAGAGGCCCAAUUAGUUACGAGACUGACUCAUUGGGGUUUCGCUCGCAGCAUUCUUGAGAUGUUCAGUGGCGUUCAGACUUGGUGUGCCAAAUCACCAGAUGAGAUUUAUCAGUCAGUUGUCCUGAAGAAAGAGAAACCGAUGUUCCUAUACAAUUUACCUAUGGAGGUCGCUAAUGUCCUCUCUGGCUGCUAUGAGUAUGACUUUCGGGAUCACUCCUUGAUGUUAGAUAUCUUACAGUCAUUUGAAAGGUUGGAGGUGACACAUGAACGCUGGCAAUGCAAAAUAGCAGAUAUAAAAUAACUGCAGCUCAGGCCUUGUAGUUCUACAACAACCAAGGAAGAAGUCUGUUUUUUAAGCCGACCUCGGCCAAGCAAUUUAAGCUUAUAUGGGUGCUCUCUAUUUUUCAGAGGUGCGUGUACUGAGAACGCCUAUGAUUUAGGGCCAAAAAUCUAGACAAAGUGACAAAACUUUGUACGAGACUUACUUGAAGCCAGUGAUAGCCCGUUGAAGGAUGCCGAUUGUGGCUAUCCAACUACAACAACGUGCUUGCAACUCAUGAGUGGCAAAGUAUAACAUGCCGCCUUUAUUAAAGAAGCCCCUUCAAUUUAUGUAUGCAGAAUGCUGUAAAGAACUCAUGACAAAGCCAGAUCUGUAUGCAUGUCUUAAUGUAUUUUCAUACUGGCUCGAGUAAUGUACUCUUGCCCGCCCCACGACACCGCCUUUGUAGUGUAUUCUUGGUCGCGUGUUGCUCAAUUAGGUUAUUCUAUUUUCUUUUUCUUUUUUAUUCACAAUUGUUGGCAUGAAUUUGCCGUGCAUUUGGUCCUAUCAACAAUUUAAACCUGUCAAUCGAGAAAGGAUAUGCACAUCAUCAGUGCACUUCUAUUUAUUUUGAUUAUAAAUGAGUAGUUAAUUUGCUAAUUAAAGAUGUUUUCCUGUGGGUAUAUUCAUCUCAUUAGAAGGUUCUUUUAUGUGGCUUUGGUCUUUCUAAAUAUUGUGUGGGUUUUUUCCUUUCCUGGUUUAGCUUUGUGAAACAAUGAUUAUUCUAGCGCGUGAUCUACUCAUGCCUAUUUACCUUAUUGUAUAGUUUGUCAUUCUAGAACACUAGACCUUUCUCCACAGCUGAUAUGUUGAUAUGACAAGUUUAAUUUGCCUUUAGUCUUUGCAGAACUAAUUUUGCAUCCUAGGAAGGGGGCAAAAUGGUCUUGACCACCGGCAGACUCUUCUAACAUCUCACCGUCACUCCCACGGGUAGCGUUGUAAUCGAGUCCAGCAAUUCAACUUUUGAAAAUAACAUGUAGGCCGAACCAAGAGGGAAUAGUACAGUACUUCAUUUCACUCAGGAGAGCUUCGGUUAUAUGAAAAUUAAUUAAUUUUAAUAUGAAUUUCGAUAUUCAAUACCCACAUGAAUUGUAUAAGUUGCUUUGCUCGAGAUGUGCAUUGGACUGUAGUUUCAGGGAGCUCCGUCGCUUUCUUAUAGAAUUUUGUUCAGAUAUAAACAAAUAAACCUAGAUAUAGACAUGCAUCUCAAUCUCUUGUUUUAAAGUUAAACUGUUUGUAGAUACUUUUUGAUGUACCUUUCGAACCCAUAAACUCAAUGUUGUGCUUGUAGUGUUGGUUCUGGGUUUAGAAUCAAUUUAAUAUGUGGAUUGAUAUCCCACCAACCACAAAACGGAAUUUCUUCUUUGAUAUUCUGCUGGUUUUCUGGUUGAGGAUUUCCAACAAGAGUGAAUGUAUAAUCCAGCCAACCAACCCAAGAUGUUUACCAGCACCAUCACGAUGAUCUUUCUCAGCCUGCUCGACCCAAUCAGUCUUCUAAUAUUCAUCUCAUGGUAGGCAUGCUCUGCAAAAAUGCAGCAACAUCAUUUUUUUGUCACGUAUGUUAAACUUGUGCUAUGAACUGUUAGCAUAUUGUCUCUCCUUUGCUUCAACUUUACAUAGGAUAUUCACUCCAAGGAGAGGAAAAUCACAUACAAUUUUCCACAUUUACCCUUCUGAAUUAAUUGCCUAACUGUUUAAUGAUUUUUUAGGAGGGUCAAGAAAAAGACGUAAAACCAUAGCUUGCUUCUUGGUUCCAGUUUCUGCAGCCACCAUUGAUAAGCAUGGGGCUGAGCAAAUGAGUAUCAAAGGCAAGUCAAGGAAACUUCGUCCUCUAGGCUGGUUGCGAUUUAGUUCUCCAGCAGCUUCAAUGCCAAGAUGAGGAGGUGGGAGAGGUGCCGCCCAAGGAGGCCAGGGGAGGAGGGCAACAAGGCUGGGGAGCGGAGGCGGAGGCUGACGAGGAAGAGAAUGAUCAAGCAUGUAAAUCUAGAGCACAAGCUCAUGAUUUAUCAAGGGAGUGGCGCUGCCGCCGGAGUAGAAAAUCAUAUCUCACAUUAAGGUGUUUUUGUCUUUUGUUUUUGUACAAAUUUGGUGCAGGCAAAAUUUUGAUGAUACAUAUAAGAUGACUAGCAUUAUCUUUUUAUUGAGUGCAUGUUUGGGUA
Triticum aestivum (bread wheat) is the source of this 5357-nucleotide long non-coding RNA. RefSeq lists it as uncharacterized. NCBI's taxonomy places the organism in Eukaryota, Viridiplantae, Streptophyta, Magnoliopsida, Poales, Poaceae. The record is from RefSeq and is a predicted model, not a curated record. The transcript has 6 exons.